UCACCGGGUAGACAUUAAUCAU
Molecule: microRNA, 22 nt
Filed under: Schmidtea mediterranea
Lineage: Eukaryota; Metazoa; Platyhelminthes; Tricladida; Dugesiidae
Description: Sme-Mir-36-P19_3p (mature (guide))
Source: RNAcentral